UACGUAGGGUGCGAGCGUUGUCCGGAAUUAUUGGGCGUAAAGAGCUCGUAGGCGGUCUGUCGCGUCGAAUGUGAAAACCCGGGGCUCAACUCCGGGCUUGCAUUCGAUACGGGCAGGCUAGAGUUCGGUAGGGGAGUCUGGAAUUCCUGGUGUAGCGGUGAAAUGCGCAGAUAUCAGGAGGAACACCGGUGGCGAAGGCGGGACUCUGGGCCGAGAUUGACGCUGAUGAGCGAAAGCUAGGGGAGCAAACGGG
Molecule: ribosomal RNA, 253 nt
Filed under: uncultured bacterium
Lineage: Bacteria
Description: partial 16S ribosomal RNA
Rfam family: Bacterial small subunit ribosomal RNA
Source: RNAcentral